Molecule: ribosomal RNA, 253 nt
Filed under: uncultured bacterium
Lineage: Bacteria
Description: partial 16S ribosomal RNA
Rfam family: Bacterial small subunit ribosomal RNA
Source: RNAcentral
UACAGAGGCCCCAAGCGUUACUGAGAAUCACUGGGUUUAAAGGGUGCGUAGGUGGCGCGUUAAGUCCGUUGUGAAAUCCCUGGGCUCAACCCAGGAAUUGCUUCGGAUACUGGCGUGCUUGAGGCUAGUAGGGGUCACUGGAACUGACGGUGGAGCGGUGAAAUGCGUAGAUAUCGUCAGGAACGCCAAUGGUGAAGACAGGUGACUGGGCUAGUUCUGACACUGAGGCACGAAAGCGUGGGGAGCGAACGGG